Regulatory RNA element from Oscillibacter sp. CAG:155, 130 nucleotides. It matches the Rfam family "Ribosomal protein L10 leader". Rfam says of the family: This family is a putative r-protein leader autoregulatory structure found in B. subtilis and other low-GC Gram-positive bacteria. It is located in the 5' untranslated regions of mRNAs encoding ribosomal proteins L10 and L12 (rplJ-rplL). A Rho-independent transcription terminator structure that is probably involved in regulation is included at the 3' end. Lineage: Bacteria; Bacillati; Bacillota; Clostridia; Eubacteriales; Oscillospiraceae. The record is from Rfam.
UAUAAUAUCAGAUGCGUUCCAAAGACAGCAGGUGAGAGGAACCUCUCGUAAGUCCUGCCGAGGGCGGCAAAUGUGAUUUGCUAUCCGUCCUUGUGUCUUUGCGGCACAAGGACGGUUUCCUUUUUGAACG